AUGAACGCUGGCGGCGUGCUUAACACAUGCAAGUCGAACGAAGCACCUUGAUUCGAUUCUUCGGAUGAAGAUCUUGGUGACUGAGUGGCGGACGGGUGAGUAACGCGUGGGUAACCUGCCUCAUACAGGGGGAUAACAGUUAGAAAUGACUGCUAAUACCGCAUAAGACCACAGCACCGCAUGGUGCAGGGGUAAAAACUCCGGUGGUAUGAGAUGGACCCGCGUCUGAUUAGGUAGUUGGUGGGGUAACGGCCUACCAAGCCGACGAUCAGUAGCCGACCUGAGAGGGUGACCGGCCACAUUGGGACUGAGACACGGCCCAAACUCCUACGGGAGGCAGCAGUGGGGAAUAUUGCACAAUGGGGGAAACCCUGAUGCAGCGACGCCGCGUGAGCGAUGAAGUAUUUCGGUAUGUAAAGCUCUAUCAGCAGGGAAGAAAAUGACGGUACCUGACUAAGAAGCACCGGCUAAAUACGUG
RNAcentral lists this ribosomal RNA (478 nucleotides) under uncultured bacterium. Its description in RNAcentral is "partial 16S ribosomal RNA". It matches the Rfam family "Bacterial small subunit ribosomal RNA", at positions 29 to 507 of the family's 1533-position model. The record is from RNAcentral.